CUUUUUAAGCAUUUCGUAAGAUUUUUAAACUUUAAAACACUUCAAAGUUUUAUUAUAGCAGAACUCAUAUUUCAAUCUAUACAAUCUACUGUAAGGGCUUGUUUGAUUCAAUGGUGGAAUUGGAAUGGAUAAUGGAAUGAGAAUGAAUUGGAAUGGUAAUUGGAAUGGCCCACUCCUCCAAGACGUUUGGUUUAUUUGUGGAUUUAGAAUUGGAAUGAGUUAUUCACAUUUCAUUAUUUGGUUCGUAUAAACUAAAAAAAUUAUAGAAUACUAUAAUACUAAUUUUACUCUCAAAUAUAAAUUUAUAUUAUUUAAAAUUUAUGAAAAAUAUAAUACUAUUCUCUAAUACGUUUUCCAAAAAAAAUAUCAAAUUUAUUUUUAAAAACUUUUAUUGAUGUGCAUUAGGGAUAGGGUUUUGAAAGAGGAUAGUUUUUUUUUUUUAAUGAGAAAUGGGUGAAGAGAAGGAGGGUGAGAUGGUCACAUGAGCUUCGAGAACUUAGUGGGCUUCCGAAAUGAAAUCUCAAUCCGGGCUAGAAGACUGGAAUCAAGUUGAAGGCUAAUGGGCCAUUUCCAUUCCAGUCCAGAAUAGAAAUCCCAAACCGAUUCAUGCUAACCAAACAAAAUUAACCGGAUUUGAUCAAACCGAUUUCCAUUCCAUACCCAAAAUGGAUGAACCAAACAAGCCAUAAAUUCAUGAUUUUAUUUCAAUUUAAUUUUAAGAAGAUAAAAACAGAAUAAAUCAUCAAAUACCUAUCUAUCAAUCUAUAUAUACCAAAAUUUUACUCUCUAUUUUUUUUUUGAGAGAUAGGUAGCAUGCUAUUCGUUUUGUUUAUUUUAUUUAAAAAUAAACUUAGCUGAAUAUAUGAAUCAACUAGAAUUCGAACUUUGCUCUUUGUCACUUGCUCUAAAAACGAUGGAUUAUAUAUACCAAAAUUUUACUAAUAAUUAUUAUUACUAGC
Molecule: long non-coding RNA, 959 nt
Filed under: Ananas comosus (pineapple)
Lineage: Eukaryota; Viridiplantae; Streptophyta; Magnoliopsida; Poales; Bromeliaceae
Description: long non-coding RNA (ACOM_LNC025269)
Source: RNAcentral